UAGUGUAGUUUGUAGGAGUGUGUGCAGGAUAGAUUAUAAUUCAUCUUCACAGGUCAGAGCAGAGGAUUGUGUGGCUCAGGUUUUUGAGUUUUGAGUAGGUGUCAAUAUCCAAACACCACAUAGAUCAAGAGAAGGGUGCAGGUCGUCAAUAUUUCAGGCCAUCCUCUGUAUUCACUACUGAACAAGAGGAACAUAGAAGAUGCUGUUUGAUCCCAGGAAAUCAACUCAACUCGUCUUUAUUUAUAGAGCACAUUUCACACAGUCAAGCAUGCAGCACAAAGUGCUUCACUAAAGAACUGGGAGACAGAAAACAACAGCGAGAGUCCGCAGUUAGACCAGAGAUGGAUGACCUGGGAGACGUGUUGACUGGGAUGAUUGAAAGCCAACAACCCUUGGAAGGUAUCCCUGAUGAUGAUCAUCUGGACAGUUCAGAAAAAGAUGACCUAAGCUUGAAUCAGGUGUUGGAGGAGCCAGAACAGAGUCAAGAAAAUCUGCCCUCUGCACCUGUGACAGCAGCAGUCAGUAUCGCUAUCCUAGGCGCCAGGCAGCAUGACAAGAGUGAAAAGGCUGACCAUUCAUGAGAAACUUGCAAUAGAGUUCCAUGAGUGCAAAUUACAAUAUUUAAGAGAAGAACAUGAACUCAAGAGGAAAAUCCUUCAUGUUGAGUUGGCUAUCAAAGAGCUGGAGAGAGACACGAAGCAGCAAGAACAGUGUUCUUCGUAACAAUUCCCCUGUUGACCAUGUGCCUUUUGUGAAUUCAAAAUGUUACAACGCAAUCACAACUCAACCAAAUAUGAUUCAGUGCUGAACCAUCUUCAUCUGUUCUCUUCAUCCUCACUAUUUUCAAAAUAUAACACAUAAUGUAGAAAACACCAAAUGUAAUGAAUAAAGCGAAAUU
Long non-coding RNA from Notolabrus celidotus (New Zealand spotty), 898 nucleotides. RefSeq lists it as uncharacterized. The transcript is spliced from 3 exons. NCBI's taxonomy places the organism in Eukaryota, Metazoa, Chordata, Actinopteri, Labriformes, Labridae. The record is from RefSeq and is a predicted model, not a curated record.